CAGCAGUCUGUGAACAAUCCUCAGGAAG
Molecule: small RNA, 28 nt
Filed under: Bombyx mori (domestic silkworm)
Lineage: Eukaryota; Metazoa; Arthropoda; Insecta; Lepidoptera; Bombycidae
Description: ovarian small RNA-13190
Source: RNAcentral